GCCUUAGUAACGGCGAGUGAAGCGGCAACAGCUCAAAUUUGAAAUCUGGCUCUUUUAGAGUCCGAGUUGUAAUUUGCAGAGGGCGCUUUGGCGUUGGCAGCGGUCCAAGUUCCUUGGAACAGGACGUCACAGAGGGUGAGAAUCCCGUACGUGGUCGCUAGCCAUCACCGUGUAAAGCCCCUUCGACGAGUCGAGUUGUUUGGGAAUGCAGCUCUAAAUGGGAGGUAAAUUUCUUCUAAAGCUAAAUACUGGCCAGAGACCGAUAGCGCACAAGUAGAGUGAUCGAAAGAUGAAAAGCACUUUGGAAAGAGAGUCAAAUAGCACGUGAAAUUGUUGAAAGGGAAGCGCUUGCAGCCAGACUUGCCUGUAGUUGCUCAUCCGGGCUUUUGCCCGGUGCACUCUUCUGCGGGCAGGCCAGCAUCAGUUUGGGCGGUUGGAUAAAGGUCUCUGUCAUGUACCUCUCUUCGGGGAGAACUUAUAGGGGAGACGACAUACAACCAGCCUGGACUGAGGUCCGCGCAUUUGCUAGGAUGCUGGCGUAAUGGCUGUAAGCGGCCCGUCUUGAAACACGGACCAAGGAGUCUAACAUCUAUGCGAGUGUUUGGGUGUCAAGCCCGAGCGCGUAAUGAAAGUGAACGGAGGUGGGACCCCUUUUAGGGUGCACCAUCGACCGAUCCUGAUGUCUUCGGAUGGAUUUGAGUAAGAGCAUGGCUGUUGGGACCCGAAAGAUGGUGAACUAUGCUUGAAUAGGGUGAAGCCAGAGGAAACUCUGGUGGAGGCUCGCAGCGGUUCUGACGUGCAAAUCGAUCGUCAAAUUUGGGCAUAGGGGCGAAAGACUAAUCGAA
This 845-nucleotide ribosomal RNA is filed under the name Phaeosphaeriaceae sp. Its description in RNAcentral is "eukaryotic LSU rRNA". It matches the Rfam family "Eukaryotic large subunit ribosomal RNA", at positions 77 to 939 of the family's 3401-position model. Lineage: Eukaryota; Fungi; Ascomycota; Dothideomycetes; Pleosporales; Phaeosphaeriaceae. The record is from RNAcentral.